This 460-nucleotide ribosomal RNA is filed under the name uncultured bacterium. RNAcentral's name for it is "partial 16S ribosomal RNA". It matches the Rfam family "Bacterial small subunit ribosomal RNA", at positions 338 to 795 of the family's 1533-position model. The record is from RNAcentral.
CCUACGGGAGGCAGCAGUGAGGAAUAUUGGUCAAUGGACGAGAGUCUGAACCAGCCAAGUAGCGUGAAGGAUGACUGCCCUAUGGGUUGUAAACUUCUUUUAUAAAGGAAUAAAACGAGGCACGUGUGCCUUUUUGCAUGUACUUUAUGAAUAAGGAUCGGCUAACUCCGUGCCAGCAGCCGCGGUAAUACGGAGGAUCCGAGCGUUAUACGGAUUUAUUGGGUUUAAAGGGAGCGUAGAUGGGUUGUUAAGUCAGUUGCGAAAGUUUGCGGCUCAACCGUAAAAUUGCAAUUGAUACUGGCAGUCUUGAGUACAGUUGAGGUAGGCGGAAUGCGUGGUGUAGCGGUGAAAUGCUUAGAUAUCACGAAGAACCCCGAUUGCGAAGGCAGCUUACUAAACUGUGACUGACAUUGAUGCUCGAAAGUGUGGGUAUCAAACAGGAUUAGAGACCCUUGUAGUC